GAUUGUCAGGGAUGAAGCUAACAUGCCGCUUUGAUCCAGCUUUCUAAGACGUACCGUUUUCCUAAUUACACUUUCCCAGAGGCAAACCCAGAUGGAUGUCAGAACGAAAAUAAACGGAAUGUGGCUCAACUGAGUGCAACUCUAAUGACUAACACAGUAAACAAAUGGUGUUGCUUAAAUCUUCACAUUUAUAGAAAUAGAAAUGGAGUGUCGUUAUGCUCCUACUGUGAUGAAGAGGAUAGUCCUGUUGUGGUGAAGAUUAUAUGCUCUGUGGAUGAUGAUUUAAGUGUAUGAACAAAUACUCAAGAUGCAGCUUGUCGGGAGCUGUCCUGGAUGCAUUUAGUAAACACUGGGACGAAAAUGUGUGCUUUAAAAAAAAAAAAGAAAGA
This 389-nucleotide long non-coding RNA is filed under the name Canis lupus familiaris (dog). Its description in RNAcentral is "lncRNA (ENSCAFG00000053162.1)". Lineage: Eukaryota; Metazoa; Chordata; Mammalia; Carnivora; Canidae. The record is from RNAcentral.